This 563-nucleotide long non-coding RNA is filed under the name Mytilus galloprovincialis (Mediterranean mussel). The record is from RNAcentral. Lineage: Eukaryota; Metazoa; Mollusca; Bivalvia; Mytilida; Mytilidae.
UUGGGAACGAGGUCACAUCUUCAUAGUACGUGUUCACAAAACUGUGUUUGGUUAGAAAAACUUAGGAUUUUCUCCCAAAGGAAUAUACAACUUAAGCUGGAAUAACAAAAAAAAAAACAUUUCGAUUUUUUUUACCUCCUUCCUCUUCAACUAUAUACUAUAUGUGGCCCUUGAACUAAUGUAAUUCGAGCAAUAUUGACGAGUCUUUUGUAGAUGAAACAUGCGUCAUACAUAUAUAUACAUAGGUUUAUAAACAUGUAUUGUGCAGAUGUUGCGUGUGUUAUGUUUUCUGUUAUUUUUAAUAAUCAAACUGAAAAGAGAAACAAAAAAUGUUACGAAACAAAACAUCGUAUCAUUAUGUACAUUGAAGGACCUUAAACAUUUUACAAGAUGACCUGAUAUGGGAAUUUGUUAAUUUUGAGCAUGACGGGUUAAACAAAACUAAUGGGCAAACAUUAUGUCAUGGUUAGUUUGAUUUAUAAACCGCGAAAAUGUCGGCAACACUAUUUGGUUUCAUAUAAUAUAGAAUAAAACAUUUUUUAAAACAAUAAAGAGACCUUAUU